Molecule: ribosomal RNA, 345 nt
Filed under: uncultured Pseudomonadota bacterium
Lineage: Bacteria; Pseudomonadati; Pseudomonadota
Description: bacterial SSU rRNA
Rfam family: Bacterial small subunit ribosomal RNA
Source: RNAcentral
AAUGAACGCUGGCGGCGUGCCUAACACAUGCAAGUCGAACGAGAAACUCCGAGCUUGCUUGGAGGAGUAAAGUGGCGAACGGGUGAGUAACGCGUGGGUGACCUACCCUUGAAUCUGGGAUAACAUGGCGAAAGCCUUGCUAAUACCGGAUAUUGUCUUUGAAGUGUUGCUUCGAUGAUGAAAGGUGACCUCUCCUUGGAAGUUGCCGUUUCAGGGGAUGGGGCCCGCGUACCAUUAGCUAGUUGGUGGGGUAAUGGCCUACCAAGGCGACGAUGGUUAGCUGGUCUGAGAGGAUGAUCAGCCACACUGGAACUGAAACACGGUCCAGACUCCUACGGGAGGCAG